Molecule: ribosomal RNA, 811 nt
Filed under: Acinetobacter baumannii
Lineage: Bacteria; Pseudomonadati; Pseudomonadota; Gammaproteobacteria; Moraxellales; Moraxellaceae
Description: bacterial SSU rRNA
Rfam family: Bacterial small subunit ribosomal RNA
Source: RNAcentral
UAACUGAAGAGUUUGAUCAUGGCUCAGAUUGAACGCUGGCGGCAGGCUUAACACAUGCAAGUCGAGCGGGGGAAGGUAGCUUGCUACCGGACCUAGCGGCGGACGGGUGAGUAAUGCUUAGGAAUCUGCCUAUUAGUGGGGGACAACAUCUCGAAAGGGAUGCUAAUACCGCAUACGUCCUACGGGAGAAAGCAGGGGAUCUUCGGACCUUGCGCUAAUAGAUGAGCCUAAGUCGGAUUAGCUAGUUGGUGGGGUAAAGGCCUACCAAGGCGACGAUCUGUAGCGGGUCUGAGAGGAUGAUCCGCCACACUGGGACUGAGACACGGCCCAGACUCCUACGGGAGGCAGCAGUGGGGAAUAUUGGACAAUGGGGGGAACCCUGAUCCAGCCAUGCCGCGUGUGUGAAGAAGGCCUUAUGGUUGUAAAGCACUUUAAGCGAGGAGGAGGCUACUCUAGUUAAUACCUAGAGAUAGUGGACGUUACUCGCAGAAUAAGCACCGGCUAACUCUGUGCCAGCAGCCGCGGUAAUACAGAGGGUGCGAGCGUUAAUCGGAUUUACUGGGCGUAAAGCGUGCGUAGGCGGCUUAUUAAGUCGGAUGUGAAAUCCCCGAGCUUAACUUGGGAAUUGCAUUCGAUACUGGUGAGCUAGAGUAUGGGAGAGGAUGGUAGAAUUCCAGGUGUAGCGGUGAAAUGCGUAGAGAUCUGGAGGAAUACCGAUGGCGAAGGCAGCCAUCUGGCCUAAUACUGACGCUGAGGUACGAAAGCAUGGGGAGCAAACAGGAUUAGAUACCCUGGUAGUCCAUGCCGUAAA